Molecule: long non-coding RNA, 650 nt
Filed under: Mytilus galloprovincialis (Mediterranean mussel)
Lineage: Eukaryota; Metazoa; Mollusca; Bivalvia; Mytilida; Mytilidae
Source: RNAcentral
UAAUACAUUAUAUUUCAUGUUAAAGUUUUUUCCAUUUAUCACAAAUUAGAAUAAACACAUGUGUGCAUCCAAAAAUGUGAAGCAAAAGAUGUCAUCUUGUUUUUCGUUGGUCUGCUCUUAUGUUAAAUUGAAAUCCAGUUUUUACAUUCCUUGUUUUGUUUUGUUGUGAUGUGUUAUUUAUGUACCUUUAUAAUUUAAUAAUGUUUUAUUUGAGUAGUUCUCAUUUUCCACCACUGAAAGCACCUUCUUUUGUAGGGUAAUCCAUUUCAUGACAAUUACAAGAUAUUUUUACUUUAGAUAUAAAUAACUGACAAGGCAUUAGAGAUUUUUUAUUGUUUCAAUAUAUAUGGACUGUAUGCCGAUUAUCAGAUAUCAGCUGAAAAAGUAGAUCUGUUUCUGAAUCUCCAAGUUCUAAGGCUCAGUAUAAAUGAAUCUUGUACUGUGUUUAAUAUUUCUCAUUCCGGUAUAGAUUUAUUUUACUUUUAUUGGUGCGAUACAAAUGUUGUAUAUAAUUAAAGUUCUCAUUCCAAAAAAAAACAUUUUCAUAUGUUUAAAUUCAGUUUAAUUGUUAUCUGUUUAAAAUUUAUACAUAUUUAUUAAAAUGACAUCUGUUGUGAUUAUGUGCAAUAUUAUUAAUUUAGAUAUUAAAA